RNAcentral lists this long non-coding RNA (211 nucleotides) under Mytilus galloprovincialis (Mediterranean mussel). The record is from RNAcentral. Lineage: Eukaryota; Metazoa; Mollusca; Bivalvia; Mytilida; Mytilidae.
CGUGUUUUCUGAUAUAUGUCCUUUUAAGGCUGCAUUUGUUUCAUGCUCUGUGUUCUGAUGUGUAUAAAAAUAAGAAGGUGUCGGAUGAUUGCCAAUGAGACAACUAUCCAACAAAUUUAAUGAAGUUAAUGUAAACAUUUAUAGAGCAACCGUACGACCUUCAACAAAGAGAAAGAACAACACAGUAUAGUCUGCUAUAAAAGUCCCCGAC